RNAcentral lists this ribosomal RNA (433 nucleotides) under uncultured bacterium. RNAcentral's name for it is "partial 16S ribosomal RNA". It matches the Rfam family "Bacterial small subunit ribosomal RNA", at positions 29 to 507 of the family's 1533-position model. The record is from RNAcentral.
AACGAACGCUGGCGGCAGGCCUAACACAUGCAAGUCGAGCGAGCAUUUCGGUGCUAGCGGCGGACGGGUGAGUAACGCGUGGGAACGUGCCCUUUUCUGCGGAAUAGUCCUGGGAAACUGGGGGUAAUACCGCAUACGCCCUUUUGGGGAAAGAUUUAUCGGAGAAGGAUCGGCCCGCGUUGGAUUAGGUAGUUGGUGGGGUAAUGGCCCACCAAGCCGACGAUCCAUAGCUGGUUUGAGAGGAUGAUCAGCCACACUGGGACUGAGACACGGCCCAGACUCCCACGGGAGGCAGCAGUGGGGAAUCUUAGACAAUGGGGGCAACCCUGAUCUAGCCAUGCCGCGUGAGUGAUGAAGGCCUUAGGGUUGUAAAGCUCUUUCAGCUGGGAAGAUAAUGACGGUACCAGCAGAAGAAGCCCCGGCUAACUCCGUG